GUUGCUUUCACGUCUAUCGUGGCCAUUUUCAGCAUUAAAAGGGUUGAUGAUAGGUCAGGAACAAAGUCCCUUGCACCCCUUGUUAUUGCUGGUGCACUGAGCAUCAUGUACUGGAGUUUCUUUGAUGAUCUUCGGCCAUAUGCGGUAAUCCAGUUCAUGCCAUGCAUUGUAAUACCUGUGAUGACUAUAGUUAUUCCACCAAUGUAUACACAUUCAAGCUACUGGUUGUGGGCAGUGUUAGAAUAUAGUUUGGGUUUAAAGAUAGAGAUAAGGAGUAGAUCAAAUAGGUUUAAACCAUGUAUUACUCAUCUUGUACUCCAAACCUCUAUGCCCUCGUGUAUUCUAUAUAUACCCCAUAUGAGGGUCAGAUCAAUACAACACAACAACAUACACAACACAAAUAUUCUAGUCAUCCUACAAUUUUUUACAGGCAGCAGGUUAGUGUUAGUCUCGUUUAAUAUCACCAUGGUGUAUGCAGUUCCAUUAUUUGUGUAUAUAGCUAUAUGUGAGUCGCAUUAA
Molecule: ribosomal RNA, 519 nt
Filed under: Triticum aestivum (bread wheat)
Lineage: Eukaryota; Viridiplantae; Streptophyta; Magnoliopsida; Poales; Poaceae
Description: partial small subunit ribosomal RNA
Source: RNAcentral